GCCUGUUCUUGUCGAGAGCUCAACCAGGACGGGAACUGUUCUGGUUGAGCUCUCAAAAAAUUAACCAUCAAAUACCUGAGAACUCGCUGCUACUCUGAGAUUAUCAGAGCUCCAAGUUAAAAUCUGGUUUCAAAACAGACAACCGAAACGGCGGAAACAAGCAAAAACAAGUGCAUUGGAGAGAAAAUCCAAAUGGACAGCUUUCACCAGCAGAACCUCUUACAGCAGCAGCAACGACAAUCACAACCGGGUCAGGGAACAACAUAAAUAAAAAAUAAAUGAAAAAUAAUGAACAUGCUAAAAAUAAUGAACAUAAUAUGGACUUUUGGGGAUGGGGUGAGAUUAGAGAAUAAUAGCAGACUAAUUUGUAUGCUGUAAUUCUAGAAUCUCGAAAGUUGUUCUGUUAAUCUAAUCAAUUCAUAUCAUUACUUGGUCUUAGUACCCGUAAUGAUAGAAGUCUUGCCUGAAUGCCGGUCAUUUCCGGGUCAGUGGUGGGUCUUAAUAAAUGAACAAAUAAAAUAGAUAA
Zophobas morio is the source of this 526-nucleotide long non-coding RNA. RefSeq lists it as uncharacterized. Lineage: Eukaryota; Metazoa; Arthropoda; Insecta; Coleoptera; Tenebrionidae. The record is from RefSeq and is a predicted model, not a curated record. The transcript is spliced from 2 exons.